This 1109-nucleotide ribosomal RNA is filed under the name uncultured eukaryote. RNAcentral describes it as "bacterial SSU rRNA". It matches the Rfam family "Eukaryotic small subunit ribosomal RNA", at positions 1 to 1140 of the family's 1831-position model. The record is from RNAcentral.
ACCUGGUUGAUCCUGCCAGUAGUCAUAUGCUUGUUUCAAAGAUUAAGCCAUGCAAGUCUAAGUAUAAGCUAAUUUAUACGGCAAAACUGCGAAUAGCUCAUUACAACAGUUAUAAUUUACACGACGAUCAUUACCAAAUGGAUAUCCAUGGUAAUUCUGGAGCUAAUACAUGCUAAAACACCCGACUUUUCGGAAGGGUGGCAUUCAUUAGUACUCAGAACCAACCGCAGGGCAACCUGUGUUUCUGGUGAUCAUAAUGACGGAGCGGAUCGCAUUUUAUGCGACAGUUCGUUCAAGUUUCUGACCUAUCAGCUCCCGUCGGUAGGGUAUUGGCCUACCGAGGCUGUGACGGGUAACGGGGAAUUAGGGUUCGAUUCCGGAGAGGGAGCCUGAGAAACGGCUACCACAUCUAAGGAUGGCAGCAGGCGCGCAAAUUACCCAAUCCCGACACGGGGAGGUAGUGACCAGAAAUAGCAACUCAGGGCUAUGCUCUGUGAUUGCAAUGGGCGGAAAGCAGAACUGUUUGCGAGUAUCUAUUGGAGGGCAAGUCUGGUGCCAGCAGCCGCGGUAAUUCCAGCUCCAAUAGCGUAUAUUAAAAUUGCUGCAGUUAAAGCGUCCGUAGUCGAAUUUCGUUCAAUUCGGAUAGAUGCAGACGCAACUUCGGUUGUUGUCUUGCGCUUCCCGAUUUGAACUUGGGGAGAACGGUGGCAACAUCGCUUUCCCCCGUUACUUUGAGCAAAUUGGAGUGCUCCAAACAGGCUAUAGCUUGAACAGCUCAGCAUGGAAUAACAAGAUAGGACUUUGGUUCUUCUUGUUGGUGACAUGAACCAAAUGUAAUGGUUGAUAAGGACAUACGGGGGCAUUUGUACUUGCUGGAGAGAGGUGAAAUUCUAAGACCCAGCAAAGACAAACAAGUGCGAAAGCAUUUGCCCAGUGUGUUCCUGUUGAUCAAGGACGAAAGUUGGGGGAUCGAAGACGAUUAGAUACCGUCGUAGUCCCAACUAUAAACUAUGCCGACUGAGGAUCGGUGGCCGAGUAUAUGACUCCUUCGGCACUCCAAGAGAAAUCUAAGUCUUUGGGCCCUGGGGGGAGUAUGGUCGCAAGGCUGA